GACGUAGGAUGCGAGCGUUAUUCGGAAUCACUGGGCGUAAAGGGUGCGUAGGCGGGUUUUUAAGUCAGGGGUGAAAUCCUGGAGCUCAACUCCAGAACUGCCUUUGAUACUGAAGAUCUUGAGUCCGGGAGAGGUGAGUGGAACUGCGAGUGUAGAGGUGAAAUUCGUAGAUAUUCGCAAGAACACCAGUGGCGAAGGCGGCUCACUGGCCCGGUACUGACGCUGAGGCACGAAAGCGUGGGGAGCAAACAGG
Molecule: ribosomal RNA, 253 nt
Filed under: uncultured bacterium
Lineage: Bacteria
Description: partial 16S ribosomal RNA
Rfam family: Bacterial small subunit ribosomal RNA
Source: RNAcentral